AGGGGAUAUAGAUCAUGUCUGAACAUUUGUAAUGGAGCUGCUAAUCCCUGAAACCUCGCUACAAUAAUAUUUGAUGAAACCAUACCAGUAACAUGCAGGGUGAAAAUUGAAACAAGAAAAGAUUUAGUGCUUGGAAGGUUCUUUGUUUAAGUAAAAGCUACUGUAUGUCUUUUUCUUCCUUGAGCUUGCUACUUUGAAACACUAGUUGUUUACAUUAGCAAUCUGAUCAAUUUGAGACCAAAAGCACACAAAAUAAGGUAUUU
This is a non-coding RNA of Schizosaccharomyces pombe (fission yeast), 263 nucleotides long. The record is from the annotation of a GenBank genome assembly. Lineage: Eukaryota; Fungi; Ascomycota; Schizosaccharomycetes; Schizosaccharomycetales; Schizosaccharomycetaceae.